AACCUUCAACCCAACUUUUUGUGUUCAACAUAAGCUGUUGGUGUUUGGAUCAUGGGCGCUUUUGUCGGUUUGGUUAUCAGAUCGGCUCGCCUGGAAUGCAUGAGCAGUGUUGUCUUUCGACAUCUGGCUUGACUUGGCGUGAUAGGUUAUUUCGCUGAGGACAAUGUCUUGUGCAUUGGCCGAUUCGUUAGAUGAGGGCUUCUAAUGGUUAUGGGCUCGACCCUUAUAACUUCAUAC
This 237-nucleotide unclassified non-coding RNA is filed under the name uncultured Microbotryomycetes. RNAcentral's name for it is "sequence contains ITS2". Lineage: Eukaryota; Fungi; Basidiomycota; Microbotryomycetes. The record is from RNAcentral.